GACGAACGCUGGCGGCGUGCUUAACACAUGCAAGUCGAACGGAAAGGCCCUGCUUUUGUGGGGUGCUCGAGUGGCGAACGGGUGAGUAACACGUGAGUAACCUGCCCUUGACUUUGGGAUAACUUCAGGAAACUGGGGCUAAUACCGGAUAGGAGCUCCUGCUGCAUGGUGGGGGUUGGAAAGUUUCGGCGGUUGGGGAUGGACUCGCGGCUUAUCAGCUUGUUGGUGGGGUAGUGGCUUACCAAGGCUUUGACGGGUAGCCGGCCUGAGAGGGUGACCGGCCACAUUGGGACGGAGAUAAGGCCCAGACUCCUACGGGAGGCAGCAGUGGGGAAUAGUGCACAAUGGGCGGAAGCCUGAUGCAGCAACGCCGCGUGGGGGAUGACGGCCUUCGGGGUGUAAACCGCUUUCGCCUGUGACGAAGCGUGAGUGACGGUAAUGGGUAAAGAAGCACCGGCUAACUACGUG
Molecule: ribosomal RNA, 468 nt
Filed under: uncultured bacterium
Lineage: Bacteria
Description: partial 16S ribosomal RNA
Rfam family: Bacterial small subunit ribosomal RNA
Source: RNAcentral